Molecule: long non-coding RNA, 1234 nt
Organism: Cucumis melo (muskmelon)
Lineage: Eukaryota; Viridiplantae; Streptophyta; Magnoliopsida; Cucurbitales; Cucurbitaceae
Exons: 4
Source: RefSeq, a predicted model, not a curated record
AGACAUCCAAGUUCCCUUUUUUUUUUUUUUCUUUUUCCUUCGUCAAUUUGCAGAGAACUUCUAAGAGAGAGUUUGGAAGAAGAAGAGAAAUUUUACUAGAAUUUUUAGGUUGAAGAGGAGGAGGAGAACUCAAGCAAAGUGUAUCCAUGGCUGAAUUUUAGUUCAUUCUGCACAUCACUGGUUUUUAAUUCGGUUUGAACUCUUCAAAAGGAAUUAAGAGGGCAGUUGGUUUUCACUCGAAAUCAGGAGGUCUCUGGUUUUUCUUAUAUUUCAGAGUGUAUCGGUGGAGUUAGAAUCUCUAUUUGGAACAAGUUAAAGAGGUCGUGUGCGCGCGAUUCUGGAAGUGGUUCUAUUUUGAGGGUUAUAUGUGUUUAUGCACGGGGAAUCAGAUUUAUAUGUCUUCAGGCCGAGAAGAAUUAAACCGAGCUUAUAGACGAAGGAUCUAGCCCAAGACUGUGAGUGACAAAACCAACUUUGAAAUAUUUUCCAUAACUGUUAUUAUGAUUGAAUGCGAUAAAUGUUUAUUUACGAAGCCAUGAAAGGUAUUUGAAUUUCAUGACUAUUUUCAAGUAUACAUUUGGAAUCUAUAUUUCUUAAAGAAAUUUAUGCUAGCACGUAGAUAUUAAAUGUUUGGAAAGUAUUUAAACCACAAUAUUUUAAGCAAAGCAUGAAUUAGUAUGAAGUUUUGUUUUAAGAACUAUAAUUUUCCACGAAAGAGCUGAGUAAAGUUCGAGCUUUGUGUAAAAUUUAUAAGCAGGCAUGUUUUAAUAUUUUAUGAUGAUUAUGAAAUUUUCAUUAACUACAUGACUGAGAUCUUGAGCCUGAGGCUAGAGAUUACCGUGUGCACACUGGUUAGAUUUCGUUGUUGACGUUGAGUGUACUCCGUAACAACGAUGCUGUCGUGAGUGCUGGGCGGGCCCCACUACGACAAAGACGAUGGGAGUGCUGGGCGGGCCCCACUACAUCGUAGUGCUUGUAAACGUUGUUGUACUAGGUGUACCCUACACAACGUAGAUUCGUCAUGUUAGUUAAAAUGCUUCGAUAUACUUGAUAUGCCUUGCUAGAUUUCAAUGAUGAACAUGCUGAGUAUUUAAGGAAGCUAUUCUUACUAUUACACAUUUACAUUUACGACUUGUAUAAACAGAUUUAUAUGUGUAAAGUUUUCACGUGCUCUUAUCUUUAAAUUCAUAGUUUUAAACUGAGUCACUCACUAAGCUUCAUAGCUCACCCUUUC